GCUGACGAGUGGCGAACGGGUGAGUAAUAUAUCGGAACGUGCCCAGUCGUGGGGGAUAACGUAGAGAAAUUUACGCUAAUACCGCAUACGAUCUAAGGAUGAAAGCGGGGGACCUUCGGGCCUCGCGCGAUUGGAGCGGCUGAUAUCAGAUUAGGUUGUUGGUGAGGUAAAAGCUCACCAAGCCGACGAUCUGUAGCUGGUUUGAGAGAACGACCAGCCACACUGGGACUGAGACACGGCCCAGACUCCUACGGGAGGCAGCAGUGGGGAAUUUUGGACAAUGGGCGAAAGCCUGAUCCAGCAAUGCCGCGUGCAGGAAGAAGGCCUUCGGGUUGUAAACUGCUUUUGUACGGAACGAAAAGGUCUGCCCUAAUACGGCGGGCCCAUGACGGUACCGUAAGAAUAAGCACCGGCUAACUACGUGCCAGCAGCCGCGGUAAU
RNAcentral lists this ribosomal RNA (441 nucleotides) under uncultured bacterium. Its description in RNAcentral is "bacterial SSU rRNA". It matches the Rfam family "Bacterial small subunit ribosomal RNA", at positions 87 to 524 of the family's 1533-position model. The record is from RNAcentral.